This 106-nucleotide non-coding RNA is filed under the name human gut metagenome. RNAcentral's name for it is "THF riboswitch". It matches the Rfam family "THF (Tetrahydrofolate) riboswitch aptamer". Rfam says of the family: THF riboswitch presents a pseudoknot that joins P1-P2 and the loop of P3 and two THF binding. The record is from RNAcentral.
GCAGAGUAGGCGGUUGCGCGUUAAGUGUUGUGCGGACGGGGAGUUGCCGCACAAACGAAAAGCCGGAUUUUCCGGAGCUUGCGGUGCAGCUGUCGCAUCCCGCUGC